UUUGGUGGCGAUAGCGAAGAGGUCACACCCGUUCCCAUACCGAACACGGAAGUUAAGCUCUUCAGCGCCGAUGGUAGUUGGGGGUUUCCCCCUGUGAGAGUAGGAC
Molecule: ribosomal RNA, 106 nt
Filed under: Bacillus altitudinis
Lineage: Bacteria; Bacillati; Bacillota; Bacilli; Caryophanales; Bacillaceae
Also listed under: 2 other names
Source: RNAcentral